Molecule: long non-coding RNA, 1812 nt
Organism: Neofelis nebulosa (Clouded leopard)
Lineage: Eukaryota; Metazoa; Chordata; Mammalia; Carnivora; Felidae
Exons: 4
Source: RefSeq, a predicted model, not a curated record
AUAAGAGCACUGAAUGCGUCAUUAGAAGACGUAGCAGGCGUGGUGGAGAUCGUGAUAAGCUAAGCAGCAAGCCGGUGUGACAGCAAGACCUGGAAGCGGAUCAGCAAUGAGCCAAGAUUUCAAAAAAUGUUUAGUACGUUGGCCACAUAAAUAAAUUCAAAAUUCCACCAAAAAAGGAGGGCAUAGCUUUCCUCUUCCUUGGAAUUUUGUAUCCAGUUCUGGGGAAAAUGGCAAGCUGAAAUUAAUCCACAGGAGAGCUAUCAUGAUCGUGGGGUCUGCGAACCAUGAAAGAUGUCUGAACACCUGCAACCGAUGAAAACCCAAAACUAAGAUUCGGAGAGACCUGUAAGCAGUGGUCACAUAUUUGAAGUGCUGACCUGGAAAGAAAGGAUUACACUUUUUAUUGCAUGCGAUUCUGGAGGGCAGAGAAAGGACCAAUGCGUAUAAAUUACAAAGAGACCCCUGAGAACUCCAUAUCAUGGUGUUCAGAAAUUGUGUAAAGUCCAAUCACCAAACUCUUCCAGGAGAGAGAAUGUGACUCAGUGCUAUCCCAGUAUGUAAUGAAGCUUCACCAAACUGGGUCAAGAGCAUUUAAAGCAAGUGUCAAGGAUCAUAUUUACAGGCUCAGAAGAAUCACAAAGACCAUGUGCAACAUACCUAUAGUUGGAUCAAAAUAGAAGAGUAAUGGCUUGUGAGGAAGAUGGAGUAAAUCACCUGUCACUUCUGUGGUCUAAGAUAAACACGCUCCUUGAAAUUUGGGACACCUGGGGGUUUUUUGUCGACCGAUGAGACGAAGUGGGUUGUGAAAACGGCACUUCUGAAACACCAAGGUUUAAAAUUCUUCUUUAACGUUCAACAAGCUAACCGUGAGAUUUUGUAAAAACCCACGAAUAGUGACAAAAAGUUGAGCCUAGGCUUUGGAGAUGAGCACAACCAGCUUGGUCUCCUGUUUCUGCCUCUCACUGCCCGGUGACCCUCGUGUAUACUUAGAAUGCCUCAGUUUCCCAGUCAGGGUUCCCACAUCGCAUCUGAGUGUCAUGUCUCUUUAAUCUCCUUUAAUGUAAGACAACUGCCUUGUACUUUUAAAAAAUUCAUUGCUGUUGUCUGUCUUGACAUUGACCUUUUUGAGUAAUUCGGGACAAUUGUUUUGGAGAAUGUCCUACAUUCUGAAUUUGUACUAUUAUGUCCUCAUGAUUAAAUUCAUAUUUAAAAUGCUUGGCGGGGCGCCUGGGUCGCUCAGUCAGUUAAGUGUCCGACUUUAGCUCAGGUCGUGAUCUCACGGCUGGUGAGUUUGAACCCCUCGCCGGGCUCUGUGCUCUCAGUGCAGAGCCCGCUCUGGAUGUUCUGUCUCCCUCUCUCUUUACCCCUCCGGCCCUCUUUCUCUCUCUCAAAAAUAAAUAAACAUUAAUUUUUAUUUUAAUGCCUGGCAAGAAUACUUCAAACUUGAUGUAUCCUUCUCAUUGCAUCUUGCCAAAUGGCAAAUAAUAGUCCCGUUACUACGAAUACCAAGUUGAUUACUUGUUUAAGGUAAUUUCUGUCAGAGCUCUUUAUUCCAAAGAAACUUCUCUUUGUAAUUAAUAAAUAAUAUUUGGUGAAGUAAAAAUUUUAAACUGUAUGAAUAUUUAGUUCCUCAAAAAAAUUUCGCCCAGUGGUUUUAGCAUCCAUUAAUUAUUCUUCCAUGAAACAUUUAUUCACUUAUCAUUUAUUUAUUUAGGUUUGCAAAACGGCAAAUUUUUUUUUUAAUUUUUUUUAACGUUUAUUUAUUUUUGAGACAGAAAGAGACAGAGCAUGAACAGGGGAGGGUCAGAGAGA